Molecule: long non-coding RNA, 1422 nt
Filed under: Canis lupus familiaris (dog)
Lineage: Eukaryota; Metazoa; Chordata; Mammalia; Carnivora; Canidae
Description: lncRNA (ENSCAFG00030020853.1)
Source: RNAcentral
GCGAGGCCAGAGCCAGGCCAGAUCCCGGCUUCGACAUCCAGGGCGAGCGCGUGCAUCAGUCAGUCAAGUGGCCAUCUCGCUUCCUCCAAUUUAAUAAUCUGCGAUGUUGGAACAGCGGCGCACCCUCCUCGUUCUAACAAUGGGAAUAAAGGGCUCAGGAAUAGGACGUGCCUGGCCCAAAGCCACGGUGUCGGCAGAGCUGGGCCCUCGCCCCCGGUCAGGAAUCCUAUUCACCCAGAGUCAAAGCCCCGCGCCGAAGGCGACGAGGGCGGCAGGGAACCCGCCGGCUUGGGAGGGGCCCAGCGGCUGCGCGCGGCGUUCGGUUCCCACACUCGCCUGACUGGAACUCGGCCCUGCCACGACCGGCGGAAGGCUGCCCGUCACGGUCCCGCGCGCCGGACAGUCCGCGCCGCGCUCACCCCGCGGCCCACAGCGUCACCUCAGCGGGCGGCGCCUCCAGCCUCCGGCCCCGCCCCGCGCGCAUGCGCGCCGCCGCCGCCGCCCCCCCCCCCCGCGCGCACGCCGUGCGCACGCGCAGUCUCUGCUCUGCCACGCGCCCCGGGCUCGGUGGCGGCCGACGUCGUCGGGAACCGGCAGCGGGUGUGGGGGGUGCCGGGGUGCCGGGAGGCGGGAACGGUGGGCGCGGCCGACGUGUCCUCCCCCGCCUCCCGCAGGGAAGGCUGUGGAUCCGCCCCGGGCCCUAAGUGCCCGCCGCGGCACGUGCGCCUGCCCCUCGAGUUGGGGUGCUGGGCAGAGGGGCGGACGGGAGCUGCGGCGGCGCGGAAGGUGGGGGCGCUUGGGGGGCAGGACGCGCGGGGCUCCUCCUCCUCUUUCUCCUUCUCCUCCUCCCCUUCCUCCCCCUUUCUCCUCCUCACCCUCCUCCUCCAACCCCCUCUUUCUCCUCCUCCUCCUCCCCUUCCUCCCCUCCCCCUCCCCUCCCCCUCCCUUCCCCCCUCCCCUCCCCCUCCCUUCCCCUCCUCCUCCUCCCCUUUCUCCUCCCCCUCUUCCUCCUCCACCCCCCUUUCUCCUUCUCCUCCACCUCCUCCUCCCCCUCUUUCUCCUUCUCCCCCUCCUGCUUCCCUUCCUCCUCCCCCUCGUCCUCCUUCCCCGCCUCCUCCUCCUCCUCCCCCUCUUUCUCCUUCUCCUCCCCCUCCUCCUCCCCCUCCCCCUCCCCCUCCACCACCAGGGUACCUUCGGUGCGGACGUGGGCUUUGUCCCCCCCUCCCCACGGGGAAGGCGGCACAGGUGGUGCCUGGCAUCGUGGACUUAACCACACUCCCAGAGUCUCACUGCGGCUCCAUGUCUGCCUCGCCCCAAGAGCUUGGCCAGUUUACCUUACCUCUCCUGUGCCUCAGUUUCCUCAGCUGGAAAAGGAGUCAGGGAUCGUGCUUCACAGGAUGGCCUGUUGUGAAGAUCCAAUGA